Molecule: long non-coding RNA, 798 nt
Filed under: Pavo cristatus (Indian peafowl)
Lineage: Eukaryota; Metazoa; Chordata; Aves; Galliformes; Phasianidae
Description: lncRNA (ENSPSTG00000001215.1)
Source: RNAcentral
ACUAUCCGCAAAUUAAUGGUAUCUUUAUUCAAAUGAGAAGCGGUGCUUAUGUUAUGAAAAGCACUAUUAUAAGAUGUAUAAUUUGAAAAUGUAGCUUGAAUCUUUAUUAAUAAUGCUCAUAACAGGGUCAUCAAAUGGCAAUAUGAAACUUUACCCCCCAUCUUAGAGAUGGUGUAACUGAGAUAUACACUUAUUAGGGCAGAGGCAACAGGACUCCGAACUGUAUCUGCAUAUGUACCAAAUUGUGCAGCACCUACCUGAAGUAAUUGUGUCCCUUAAUUAUGUUUUAUCAUCAGCAAAUUCUUAACUUUUCAGAAUGUUCUUACUAUGUUUCCUGGUCUUCAUGGCACAUUCUACAGGAAUGUUUUCUGCAAUGAUCCUGCGUACAGGCAGCAAGCUUAAAGCAAACGGCUGAGCUCUUUCCCGAAGCUAUAGAAGAUAUUGCAGGAGUAUGCCCUGCUUGCUCUCAGGCAGGAAGCAUCCACUGAGAUUCUUAAGACAGUGCGCAUUACCCACCAGAGGGAGCUGAAGCCAAGAACUGUCAGAUUUUGCUUUGGCUUCCAAUUAUCAGAGGAUUCCCUACUGAAAGUCAUCUCCUCCACUUCACAGUGCUUUAGAUUCAGGCCUCUGUCUUCAGGUUUAAAAAUGGUUGAAAAAUUAACCGAAUUUGUACCUCUUGGCAAUUACUGAUUAUUUCAGUAGAUUUAUUUUUGGAGUCAUGAUGGAAAACAGGUAAACUCCUGAAUAUGGUUGUGCUUUGUUAUUAUGUGUAUGGCACACUAUAAUCAUUGGUUCAAA